GGUCCGCUGGCGUAAUGGCAGCGCGUCUGACUACGAUUAACCAAGUAAUCAGGAGGUUCCAGGUUCGACCCCUGGGCGGAUCG
RNAcentral lists this transfer RNA (83 nucleotides) under Madurella mycetomatis. It matches the Rfam family "tRNA". From Rfam's summary of the family: Transfer RNA (tRNA) molecules are approximately 80 nucleotides in length. Their secondary structure includes four short double-helical elements and three loops (D, anti-codon, and T loops). Further hydrogen bonds mediate the characteristic L-shaped molecular structure. tRNAs have two regions of fundamental functional importance: the anti-codon, which is responsible for specific mRNA codon recognition, and the 3' end, to which the tRNAs corresponding amino acid is attached (by aminoacyl-tRNA synthetases). tRNAs cope with the degeneracy of the genetic code in two manners: having more than one tRNA (with a specific anti-codon) for a particular amino acid; and 'wobble' base-pairing, i.e. permitting non-standard base-pairing at the 3rd anti-codon position. The record is from Rfam by way of RNAcentral. Lineage: Eukaryota; Fungi; Ascomycota; Sordariomycetes; Sordariales.